UGGGGAAUAUUGCACAAUGGGCGCAAGCCUGAUGCAGCCAUGCCGCGUGUGUGAAGAAGGCCUUCGGGUUGUAAAGCACUUUCAGUCGUGAGGAAGGUGGUAGUGUUAAUAGCACUAUCAUUUGACGUUAGCGACAGAAGAAGCACCGGCUAACUCCGUGCCAGCAGCCGCGGUAAUACGGAGGGUGCGAGCGUUAAUCGGAAUUACUGGGCGUAAAGCGCAUGCAGGUGGUUUGUUAAGUCAGAUGUGAAAGCCCGGGGCUCAACCUCGGAAUAGCAUUUGAAACUGGCAGACUAGAGUACUGUAGAGGGGGGUAGAAUUUCAGGUGUAGCGGUGAAAUGCGUAGAGAUCUGAAGGAAUACCGGUGGCGAAGGCGGCCCCCUGGACAGAUACUGACACUCAGAUGCGAAAGCGUGGGGAGCAAACAGGAUUAGAUACCCCCGUAGUCC
RNAcentral lists this ribosomal RNA (449 nucleotides) under uncultured prokaryote. RNAcentral describes it as "bacterial SSU rRNA". It matches the Rfam family "Bacterial small subunit ribosomal RNA", at positions 355 to 796 of the family's 1533-position model. The record is from RNAcentral.